AGUUCGGAUUGAAGGCUGAAAUUCGCCUUCAUGAAGCUGGAAUUGCUAGUAAUGGCAGGUCAGCAUACUGCCGUGAAUACGUUCCCGGGCCUUGUACACACCGCCCGUCACACCAUGAGAGUUGGGAAUACCCGAAGCCUGUGAGCUAACUUAUAGAGGCAGCGGUCGAAGGUAGAAUCAAUGAUUGGGGUGAAGUCGUAACAAGGUAUC
RNAcentral lists this ribosomal RNA (210 nucleotides) under uncultured bacterium. RNAcentral's name for it is "partial 16S ribosomal RNA". It matches the Rfam family "Bacterial small subunit ribosomal RNA", at positions 1290 to 1500 of the family's 1533-position model. The record is from RNAcentral.